Molecule: ribosomal RNA, 497 nt
Filed under: uncultured bacterium
Lineage: Bacteria
Description: partial 16S ribosomal RNA
Rfam family: Bacterial small subunit ribosomal RNA
Source: RNAcentral
GAUGAACGCUGGCGGCGUGCCUAAUACAUGCAAGUCGAGCGAACAGACGAGGAGCUUGCUCCUCUGACGUUAGCGGCGGACGGGUGAGUAACACGUGUAUAACCUACCUAUAAGACUGGGAUAACUUCGGGAAACCGGAGCUAAUACCGUAUAACAUGUUGAAGCGCAUGGGUGGAUAGUGAAAUACGGUGUUGGUGUCAGUUAUAGAUGGAUCCACGCCGCAUUAGGUGGUUGGGAAGGUAACGGCUUACUAAGGCAAGGAUGCGUAGCCGAAGGGAGAGAGUGAUAGGCCACCUUGGAAGGUAACCACGCUCCAUGGGACUACGGUACGCAGCAGUAGCGAACCUGCCGCAACGGGCGAAAGCCUGACGGAGCAACGCCGAGCGAGUGACGAAGGUCUUCGGAUCGUAAAACCCUGUUAUGAGGGAAGAACAAAUGUGUAAGUAACUAUGCACGUAUUGACGGUAACUAAUAAGAAAGCCACGGCUAACUACGUG